This is a transfer RNA of Ipomoea nil (Japanese morning glory), 74 nucleotides long. It matches the Rfam family "tRNA". Rfam says of the family: Transfer RNA (tRNA) molecules are approximately 80 nucleotides in length. Their secondary structure includes four short double-helical elements and three loops (D, anti-codon, and T loops). Lineage: Eukaryota; Viridiplantae; Streptophyta; Magnoliopsida; Solanales; Convolvulaceae. The record is from Rfam.
GUCUGGGUGGUGUAGUUGGUUAUCACGUUAGUCUCACACACUAGAGGUCCCUAGUUCAAACUUGGGCUCAGUCA